RNAcentral lists this ribosomal RNA (1528 nucleotides) under Lactococcus lactis subsp. lactis. RNAcentral describes it as "bacterial SSU rRNA". It matches the Rfam family "Bacterial small subunit ribosomal RNA". The record is from RNAcentral. Lineage: Bacteria; Bacillati; Bacillota; Bacilli; Lactobacillales; Streptococcaceae.
CACGGAUCCAGACUUUGAUUAUGGCUCAGGACGAACGCUGGCGGCGUGCCUAAUACAUGCAAGUUGAGCGCUGAAGGUUGGUACUUGUACCAACUGGAUGAGCAGCGAACGGGUGAGUAACGCGUGGGGAAUCUGCCUUUGAGCGGGGGACAACAUUUGGAAACGAAUGCUAAUACCGCAUAAAAACUUUAAACACAAGUUUUAAGUUUGAAAGAUGCAAUUGCAUCACUCAAAGAUGAUCCCGCGUUGUAUUAGCUAGUUGGUGAGGUAAAGGCUCACCAAGGCGAUGAUACAUAGCCGACCUGAGAGGGUGAUCGGCCACAUUGGGACUGAGACACGGCCCAAACUCCUACGGGAGGCAGCAGUAGGGAAUCUUCGGCAAUGGACGAAAGUCUGGCCGAGCAACGCCGCGUGAGUGAAGAAGGUUUUCGGAUCGUAAAACUCUGUUGGUAGAGAAGAACGUUGGUGAGAGUGGAAAGCUCAUCAAGUGACGGUAACUACCCAGAAAGGGACGGCUAACUACGUGCCAGCAGCCGCGGUAAUACGUAGGUCCCGAGCGUUGUCCGGAUUUAUUGGGCGUAAAGCGAGCGCAGGUGGUUUAUUAAGUCUGGUGUAAAAGGCAGUGGCUCAACCAUUGUAUGCAUUGGAAACUGGUAGACUUGAGUGCAGGAGAGGAGAGUGGAAUUCCAUGUGUAGCGGUGAAAUGCGUAGAUAUAUGGAGGAACACCGGUGGCGAAAGCGGCUCUCUGGCCUGUAACUGACACUGAGGCUCGAAAGCGUGGGGAGCAAACAGGAUUAGAUACCCUGGUAGUCCACGCCGUAAACGAUGAGUGCUAGAUGUAGGGAGCUAUAAGUUCUCUGUAUCGCAGCUAACGCAAUAAGCACUCCGCCUGGGGAGUACGACCGCAAGGUUGAAACUCAAAGGAAUUGACGGGGGCCCGCACAAGCGGUGGAGCGUGUGGUUUAAUUCGAAGCAACGCGAAGAACCUUACCAGGUCUUGACAUACUCGUGCUAUUCCUAGAGAUGGGAAGUUCCUUCGGGACACGGGAUACAGGUGGUGCAUGGUUGUCGUCAGCUCGUGUCGUGAGAUGUUGGGUUAAGUCCCGCAACGAGCGCAACCCCUAUUGUUAGUUGCCAUCAUUAAGUUGGGCACUCUAACGAGACUGCCGGUGAUAAACCGGAGGAAGGUGGGGAUGACGUCAAAUCAUCAUGCCCCUUAUGACCUGGGCUACACACGUGCUACAAUGGAUGGUACAACGAGUCGCGAGACAGUGAUGUUUAGCUAAUCUCUUAAAACCAUUCUCAGUUCGGAUUGUAGGCUGCAACUCGCCUACAUGAAGUCGGAAUCGCUAGUAAUCGCGGAUCAGCACGCCGCGGUGAAUACGUUCCCGGGCCUUGUACACACCGCCCGUCACACCACGGGAGUUGGGAGUACCCGAAGUAGGUUGCCUAACCGCAAGGAGGGCGCUUCCUAAGGUAAGACCGAUGACUGGGGUGAAGUCGUAACAAGCUAACCGUAAGCUUCAC